This 440-nucleotide ribosomal RNA is filed under the name uncultured bacterium. RNAcentral's name for it is "partial 16S ribosomal RNA". It matches the Rfam family "Bacterial small subunit ribosomal RNA", at positions 338 to 795 of the family's 1533-position model. The record is from RNAcentral.
CCUACGGGAGGCAGCAGUGGGGGAUAUUGCACAAUGGGGGAAACACUGAUGCAGCGACGCCGCGUGUGGGAAGACGGUCCUCUGGAUUGUAAACCACUGUCCCCAGGGACGAAGAUGACGGUACCUGGGGAGGAAGCUCCGGCUAACUACGUGCCAGCAUCCGCGGUAAUACGUAGGGAGCGAGCGUUGUCCGGAAUUACUGGGUGAAAAGGGAGCGUAGGCGGGACUGCAAGUUGGGUGUCAAAUCUACCGGCUCAACCGGUAGCCGCACUCAAAACUGCAGUUCUUGAGUGAAGUAGAGGCAGGCGGAAUUCCUAGUGUAGCGGUGAAAUGCGUAGAUAUUAGGAGGAACCACAGUGGCGAAGGCGGCCUGCUGGGCUUUUACUGACGCUGAGGCUCGAAAGUGUGGGGAGCAAACAGGAUUAGAUACCCGGGUAGUC